GACGAACGCUGGCGGCGUGCUUAACACAUGCAAGUCGAACGGAAAGGCCUGCUUUCCCUUGUGGAUUGCGGGUACUCGAGUGGCGAACGGGUGAGUAACACGUGAGUGAUCUGCCCCCAACUUGGGUAUAAGCCUGGGAAACUGGGUCUAAUUCCCGAUAGGACUGCAGGGUGGUGCCUGUGGUGGAAAACGAUUUUCUAGUGGUUGGGGAUGAGCUCGCGGCCUAUCAGCUUGUUGGUGGGGUAAUGGCCUACCAAGGCGGCGACGAGUAGCCGGCCUGAGAGGGUGGACGGCCACAUUGGGACUGAGAUACGGCCCAGACUCCUACGGGAGGCAGCAGUGGGGAAUAUUGCACAAUGGGCGGAAGCCUGAUGCAGCGACGCCGCGUGGGGGAUGACGGCCUUCGGGUUGUAAACUCCUUUCGACCGCGAGGAAGCCACCUGGUUGGAAGGGUGGUGACGGUAGUGGUAGAAGAAGCACCGGCUAACUACGUG
Molecule: ribosomal RNA, 494 nt
Filed under: uncultured bacterium
Lineage: Bacteria
Description: partial 16S ribosomal RNA
Rfam family: Bacterial small subunit ribosomal RNA
Source: RNAcentral